UACGUAGGGGGCAAGCGUUAUCCGGAUUUACUGGGUGUAAAGGGAGCGUAGACGGCGAUGCAAGCCAGAUGUGAAAGCCCGGGGCUCAACCCCGGGACUGCAUUUGGAACUGUAUAGCUAGAGUGUCGGAGAGGCAGGCGGAAUUCCUAGUGUAGCGGUGAAAUGCAUAGAUAUCACGCAGAACCCCGAUUGCGAAGGCAGCCUUCCGGCGCCCUACUGACGCUGAGGCACGAAAGUGCGGGGAUCGAACAGG
This 253-nucleotide ribosomal RNA is filed under the name uncultured bacterium. RNAcentral describes it as "partial 16S ribosomal RNA". It matches the Rfam family "Bacterial small subunit ribosomal RNA", at positions 524 to 776 of the family's 1533-position model. The record is from RNAcentral.